GCUUCACACUAAAGGAGAGGUUAGCACUCCCCUUGAGAAGGAUAGGAAAGGUCUUAGUGGCCUUUACAACACAUGUAUGGUUAAGGCAUUGCCAACAACUUCAUGACAUCUAACCAUGGUCUAGU
Molecule: small nuclear RNA, 125 nt
Organism: Tachyglossus aculeatus (Australian echidna)
Lineage: Eukaryota; Metazoa; Chordata; Mammalia; Monotremata; Tachyglossidae
Source: RefSeq, a predicted model, not a curated record